Molecule: RNA transcript, 1673 nt
Organism: Oncorhynchus keta (chum salmon)
Lineage: Eukaryota; Metazoa; Chordata; Actinopteri; Salmoniformes; Salmonidae
Gene name: sex-determining region Y protein-like
Exons: 4
Source: RefSeq, a predicted model, not a curated record
AUUUUUUUCUACUGUGUUAUUGACUUGCUAAUUGUUUACUCCAUGUGUAACUCUGUGUUGUCUGUUCACACUGCUAUGCUUUAUCUUGGCCAGGUCGCAGUUGCAAAUGAGAACUUGUUCUCAACUAGCCUACCUGGUUAAAUAAAGGUGAAAUAAAAAAAAAAAUAUAAAAAAAAUGACCAACAGGUGGAGACUAACAGUGAAAUGCUUCAUGACCAACAGGUGGAGACUAACAGUGAAAUGCUUCAUGAGCAACAGGUGGAGACUAACAGUGAAAUGCUUCAUGACCAACAGGUGGAGACUAACAGUGAAAUGCUUCAUGAACAAUAGGUGGAGACUAACAGUGAAAUGCUUCAUGACCAACAGGUGGAGACUAACAGUGACAUGCUUCAUAAACAACAGGUGGAGACUAACAGUGAAAUGCUUCAUGACCAACAGGUGGAGACUAACAGUGAAAUGCUUCAUGAACAACAGGUGGAGACUAACAGUGACAUGCUUCAUGACCAACAGGUGGAGACUAACAGUGAAAUGCUUCAUGAACAACAGGUGGAGACUAACAGUGAAAUGCUUCAUAAACAACAGGUGGAGACUAACAGUGACAUGCUUCAUGACCAACAGGUGGAGACUAACAGUGAAAUGCUUCAUGAACAACAGGUGGAGACUAACAGUGAAAUGCUUCAUGACCAACAGGUGGAGACUAACAGUGACAUGCUUCAUGACCAACAGGUGGAGACUAACAGUGAAAUGCUUCAUGAACAAUAGGUGGAGACUAACAGUGAAAUGCUUCAUAAACAACAGGUGGAGACUAACAGUGACAUGCUUCAUAAACAACAGGUGGAGACUAACAGUGAAAUGCUUCAUGACCAACAGGUGGAGACUAACCAGUGAAAUGCUUCAUGACCAACAGGUGGAGACUAACAGUGACAUGCUUCAUGACCAACAGGUGGAGACUAACAGUGAAAUGCUUCAUGACCAACAGGUGGAGACUAACAGUGAAAUGCUUCAUGAACAAUAGGUGGAGACUAACAGUGAAAUGCUUCAUGAACAAUAGGUGGAGACUAACAGUGAAAUGCUUCAUAAACAACAGGUGGAGACUAACAGUGACAUGCUUCAUAAACAACAGGUGGAGACUAACAGUGAAAUGCUUCAUGACCAACAGGUGGAGACUAACCAGUGAAAUGCUUCAUGACCAACAGGUGGAGACUAACAGUGAAAUGCUUCAUGACCAACAGGUGGAGACUAACCAGUGAAAUGCUUCAUGACCAACAGGUGGAGACUAACAGUGAAAUGCUUCAUAAACAACAGGUGGAGACUAACAGUGAAAUGCUUCAUAAACAACAGGUGGAGACUAACAGUGAAAUGCUUCAUGACCAACAGGUGGAGACUAACAGUGAAAUGCUUCAUGAACAACAGGUGGAGACUAACAGUGACAUGCUUCAUGAACAACAGGUGGAGACUAACAGUGAAAUGCUUCAUGACCAACAGGUGGAGACUAACAGUGAAAUGCUUCAUGACCAACAGGUGGAGACUAACAGUGAAAUGCUUCAUGACCAACAGGUGGAGACUAACAGUGAAAUGCUUCAUGACCAACAGGUGGAGACUAACAGUGAAAUGCUUCAUGACCAACAGGUGGAGACUAACAGUGAAAUGCUUCAUGACCAACAGGUGUAGUA